AAUAAGGGACCACUCUCCUUGUCGGUUCCUAACACAUUCUUCACCAAUCAUAACCACCAUCUAUAUAUAAAUGCCUUCUACCAUCAUCAUCAUCAUCAUCGUAAGUUCUAUAAGAGCUAUGGCUGCAACAUCAUAAAGAUUUCAAUUUUGUAUAUACUACUAGUAUUAGUAAAUAUGGCAAGAGAAUCGAUAUCAAUGAGAAUUCCAAAGGCUCCUCAGUUAAUGCGACGGUGUUCAAUGCAGUUCAAAGAGCAGAAAACUAGAUUCUAUAUCAUGUGGAGGUGCACUAUUUUGCUUCUAAGCUGGGAUGAUAAACUAGAUAACUAA
Non-coding RNA from Vicia faba (fava bean), 327 nucleotides. Lineage: Eukaryota; Viridiplantae; Streptophyta; Magnoliopsida; Fabales; Fabaceae. The record is from the annotation of a GenBank genome assembly.